RNAcentral lists this small nucleolar RNA (123 nucleotides) under Echinops telfairi (small Madagascar hedgehog). RNAcentral's name for it is "Small nucleolar RNA SNORA61 (ENSETEG00000026175.1)". The record is from RNAcentral. Lineage: Eukaryota; Metazoa; Chordata; Mammalia; Afrosoricida; Tenrecidae.
CACCUCCAGAUCCCUUAGCCCUUGGACCUAAAUAUUGGUCUGAGUGACUUUAAGAAGGAGGGCAAGUAAAACGGAAAUAGGCUUGGAGUGUUUAGUGACAUGAGAGACCAAAACAAAACAAAA